RNAcentral lists this ribosomal RNA (406 nucleotides) under uncultured bacterium. RNAcentral describes it as "bacterial SSU rRNA". It matches the Rfam family "Bacterial small subunit ribosomal RNA", at positions 29 to 480 of the family's 1533-position model. The record is from RNAcentral.
AACGAACGCUGGCGGCAGGCCUAACACAUGCAAGUCGAACGCCGUAGCAAUACGGAGUGGCAGACGGGUGAGUAACACGUGGGAACGUACCUUUCGGUUCGGAAUAACUCAGGGAAACUUGAGCUAAUACCGGAUACGUGCGAGAGCAGAAAGAUUUAUCGCCGAAAGAUCGGCCCGCGUCCGAUUAGCUUGUUGGUGAGGUAAUGGCUCACCAAGGCGACGAUCGGUAGCUGGUCUGAGAGGAUGAUCAGCCACACUGGAACUGAGACACGGUCCAGACUCCUACGGGAGGCAGCAGUGGGGAAUAUUGGACAAUGGGCGAAAGCCUGAUCCAGCAAUGCCGCGUGAGUGAAGAAGGCCUUAGGGUUGUAAAGCUCUUUUAGUAAGGAAAUAAUAGAUGGUACUU